CUCAGUAAUUAUUCAUACACUAUUUUACAGAAAUAGUGAGGACAACUAAAAAAUCUUCUUAGAACCAUCACUCCAUACCCCGACUCGAUCCUGCUAUGUUCUCACCUCCUGAGAAGAAAAAUGGAACAAAAAGGAAAAGGGUGAGCUCAACUAGCCCAGUAAAGAAUAUUAUGACUAAGAUAAUAUACAACAAAUUAUCGUUAGUCUUCAACAGGGAAAAAUCUAAUAGAAUACAAUAGACAACAAGUUUUAGAUCAACAAAUGCAGCGGAAACAGCAAUCCAUUAGAAGAGUCACGUAGAGAAAGAAUUCUACUGUCUUCUAAGGUUUAAAAGUCCAUCAUCAAUAUUUUAUCCCUGUAACAACAAUCAAUAUUCAUCUUUGCACUACAGGCCAAAGAUAUUCAUUUAAAUCACCAGUUGGUCAUGUUCAUCUCAACACCUGUUCAUCUUUGCACUACAGGCCAAAGAUAUUCAUCAGUUAAUCGUUCAUCUUUGCACUACAGGCCAAAGAUAUUCAUCAAGUAUCACCAUUAAGGACCGAGGAUGAUGAAAAAUAUUUUUAAGAACGAAUCCAGUGAGAUAGAAGGACAAAUAUUAGGGAUUCGUACAACAGUUUAUCCAAGAUCGAUAAUACUUCAUAAUAAACGAUUUUGAAGCAGAACUCAAAAAUAACGAUCAAAACAUGGAUACAAUCAAAGAUAGUAGCCAAAAUAGACAUCUUGGACAAAAAGAAAAAAUUUCAUUUUUCGGUGAAUAGUGUCGUAUUCGUGAAUAGUGCUGUAUACGUGAAUAGUGCCGUAUACGUGAACAGUAACCCCGACACAACAAGUUCCAAAUUUGAUAAAAAUUUUAACAAAUAUUUUGGCAUAAUGAUAUUGAAGAAAAUAAUAUCAUUUGCGAAAGAAAUAACAUCCCUUACCUCAAAAUAACCGUACUUCUGACUGAAUUUCGGUAUAGUGCUGACAGAAACUCGCACCGUAUAGCAACACUCAAAAUAUACUCACAAGAAUACGCUCGAUAAUAUAGAGAGAGAAAGAGAGAAAACUU
Molecule: long non-coding RNA, 1048 nt
Filed under: Panax ginseng (ginseng)
Lineage: Eukaryota; Viridiplantae; Streptophyta; Magnoliopsida; Apiales; Araliaceae
Description: long non-coding RNA (PGIN_LNC005211)
Source: RNAcentral